AUGCUUGAUGAAUUUAAUGCUUUGCUAAAGAACAAAACUUGGAGUUUGGUUCCUCGACCUGCAGGUGUCAACGUGGUCACCGGGAAGUGGAUCUUUCGGCACAAAUUCAACCCUGACGGCUCUUUGGAGCGCUACAAGGCACGUUGGGUCCUCCGUGGUUUCACUCAACGGGAGGGCAUUGACUACACCGAGACUUUCAGCCCGGUUGUCAAGCCGGCCACUGUUCGCGUCGUUCUUAGUCUCGCCACCGCUCAAGCGUGGCCAAUUCACCAACUCGACGUGAAGAACGCCUUUUUACACGUUUAUCUCGGCGAGACAGUGUACUGUGCGCAACCUUCCGGCUUUGUCGAUCCCUCUCACCCCACGCAUGUUUGCCUUCUCCAGAAAUCUUUGUAUGGUCUCAAACAGGCUCCUCGCACCUAG
This 423-nucleotide ribosomal RNA is filed under the name Triticum aestivum (bread wheat). RNAcentral's name for it is "partial small subunit ribosomal RNA". Lineage: Eukaryota; Viridiplantae; Streptophyta; Magnoliopsida; Poales; Poaceae. The record is from RNAcentral.